RNAcentral lists this long non-coding RNA (440 nucleotides) under Homo sapiens (human). Its description in RNAcentral is "non-protein coding lnc-RGS13-1:1". Lineage: Eukaryota; Metazoa; Chordata; Mammalia; Primates; Hominidae. The record is from RNAcentral.
UUUCUAACACCAAAAUUGGUUAUCUGUACAUCAAGGGCUUCCAUAUGUCAUAAUUGACCAUGAUUCAUGUUGCUUAUUUGGGAUUUGUUUAUCUAGCAACUCUUUAACUCAAGCUUGCCCAAGUAAAACUCUCUAUCUUUGUCUUGUUCGCUAUAUUCACGUCUAUCAGCAUGUAUAUGCAGAACUUAUUUAAUCUGUAAACCUGCCUAAAUUGUUGCAAAUAGAGAUUAAAGUCAUAAAAAAUAUGCAAAAUGCAAUUAAGCAUACAGACUGUGUCUUAUUUAUCUGUAUAAUCUAUCAUCCUUCCCUGAAGCAGUGGAAGCUGCAGGUCUGGCUGCCCAGAUGUUUGGGAUAGGUGGGAGUGGUAGAGUGUGGAAAGGUAAAGAAAUUUUUAGAGAAAGAAAGUGAUUUGCCUACUUGAUCUACCAAGAAAAGACAAG